AGAAGAACAACAGGGAUUGCCUCAGUAACGGCGAGUGAAGCGGCAACAGCUCAAAUUUGAAAUCUGGCCCCCCUGGCGGGGCCCGAGUUGUAAUUUGCAGAGGAUGCUUUUGGUGAGGCGCCUUCCGAGUUCCCUGGAAUGGGACGCCAUAGAGGGUGAGAGCCCCGUCUGGUUGGAUGCCGAGCCUCUGUAAAGCUCCUUCGACGAGUCGAGUAGUUUGGGAAUGCUGCUCUAAAUGGGAGGUAUAUGUCUUCUAAAGCUAAAUACCGGCCAGAGACCGAUAGCGCACAAGUAGAGUGAUCGAAAGAUGAAAAGCACUUUGAAAAGAGGGUUAAACAGUACGUGAAAUUGUUGAAAGGGAAGCGCUUAUGACCAGACUUGGUCCCGGCGGAUCAUCCGGCGUUCUCGCCGGUGCACUCCGCCGGGCGCCAGGCCAGCAUCAGUCCGCGCCGGGGGAUAAAGGCCCCGGGAAUGUGGCUCCCUCGGGAGUGUUAUAGCCCGUCGCGCAAUACCCUGGGGCGGACUGAGGAACGCGCACCCGCAAGGAUGCUGGCGUAAUGGUCAUCAGUGACCCGUCUUGAAACACGGACCAAGGAGUCGUCCUCGUAUGCGAGUGUUGGGGCGUGAAACCCCCUGCGCGUAAUGAAAGUGAACGCCGGUGAGAGCUUCGGCGCAUCAUCGACCGAUCCUGAUGUUCUCGGAUGGAUUUGAGUAAGAGCAUACGGGGCCGGACCCGAAAGAAGGUGAACUAUGCCUGUGUAGGGUGAAGCCAGAGGAAACUCUGGUGGAGGCUCGCAGCGGUUCUGACGUGCAAAUCGAUCGUCAAAAUGGGCAUGGGGGCGAAAGAC
This 848-nucleotide ribosomal RNA is filed under the name Samuelsia sp. SM-2011. Its description in RNAcentral is "eukaryotic LSU rRNA". It matches the Rfam family "Eukaryotic large subunit ribosomal RNA", at positions 56 to 931 of the family's 3401-position model. The record is from RNAcentral. Lineage: Eukaryota; Fungi; Ascomycota; Sordariomycetes; Hypocreales; Clavicipitaceae.